This 301-nucleotide ribosomal RNA is filed under the name uncultured bacterium. RNAcentral's name for it is "partial 16S ribosomal RNA". It matches the Rfam family "Bacterial small subunit ribosomal RNA", at positions 509 to 807 of the family's 1533-position model. The record is from RNAcentral.
CAGUAGCCGCGGUAAUACGUAGGGUGCGAGCGUUAAUCGGAAUUACUGGGCGUAAAGCGUGCGCAGGCGGUUAUAUAAGACAGAUGUGAAAUCCCCGGGCUCAACCUGGGACCUGCAUUUGUGACUGUAUAGCUAGAGUACGGUAGAGGGGGAUGGAAUUCCGCGUGUAGCAGUGAAAUGCGUAGAUAUGCGGAGGAACACCGAUGGCGAAGGCAAUCCCCUGGACCUGUACUGACGCUCAUGCACGAAAGCGUGGGGAGCAAACAGGAUUAGAUACCCGGGUAGUCCCUGUCUCUUAUAC